Non-coding RNA from Pelobates cultripes (western spadefoot toad), 212 nucleotides. NCBI's taxonomy places the organism in Eukaryota, Metazoa, Chordata, Amphibia, Anura, Pelobatidae. The record is from the annotation of a GenBank genome assembly.
ACAAAGGCUCCAUAGCUGAGUCCACCUUAUUAGUAGCAAUCUUCAGCAGUACAGGAGAGCAGGCAAAACAUAUAACACACACAUUAUAAACAUCCUGUACCUAUAAUGAGCACAUAUCUCCCUCAAAGGUAGACUAACCAGGUACCAGACCUCUAAUCAGUCUGUGUCUGAGUUAGUCUGGCAACCCUCCCCAAAAGUCCGGCCAACCUUGU